CCGGCGCACGGGUGCGUAACGCGUAUGCAAUCUACCUUGUACAGGGGGAUAGCCCAGAGAAAUUUGGGUUAAUACCCCAUGGUGUAUUAGAGUGGCAUCAUUUAAAUACUAAAGUUCCAACGGUACAAGAUGAGCAUGCGUCCCAUUAGUUAGUUGGUAAGGUAACGGCUUACCAAGACGAUGAUGGGUAGGGGUCCUGAGAGGGAGAUCCCCCACACUGGUACUGAGACACGGACCAGACUCCUACGGGAGGCAGCAGUGAGGAAUAUUGGUCAAUGGGCGAGAGCCUGAACCAGCCAUGCCGCGUGCAGGAAGACGGUCCUAUGGAUUGUAAACUGCUUUUAUACAGGAAGAAACACUCCCUCGUGAGGGAACUUGACGGUACUGUAGGAAUAAGGAUCGGCUAACUCCGUGCCAGCAGCCGCGGUAAUACGGAGGAUCCAAGCGUUAUCCGGAAUCAUUGGGUUUAAAGGGUCUGUAGGCGGUUUAAUAAGUCAGUGGUGAAAUCUGGUCGCUCAACGAUCAAACGGCCAUUGAUACUGUUAAACUUGAAUUAGUGUGAAGUAACUAGAAUAUGUAGUGUAGCGGUGAAAUGCUUAGAUAUUACAUGGAAUACCAAUUGCGAAGGCAGGUUACUAACACUAUAUUGACGCUGAUAGACGAAAGCGUGGGUAGCGAACAGGAUUAGAUACCCUGGUAGUCCACGCCGUANACGAUGGAUACUAGCUGUUUGGAGCAAUCUGAGUGGCUAAGCGAAAGUGAUAAGUAUCC
This 771-nucleotide ribosomal RNA is filed under the name uncultured bacterium. Its description in RNAcentral is "bacterial SSU rRNA". It matches the Rfam family "Bacterial small subunit ribosomal RNA", at positions 95 to 869 of the family's 1533-position model. The record is from RNAcentral.